AUGCAGUCAGAACAAAAGAAAGCUAGAAUAGAACAUAUAAAUGAAUUGAAGCGCAGCACAGCAAACAAAGACUCAAUUGCGAUGCAAAACCCUGCAUAUAGCUCAACUGAACAAGAAGUUAGUAUUUCUACCCCUUCUGUAAAUCACAGAAAGCAUGUCACGCGAGGAGAAAGACAAACAUUGCUGCACCGCCGUAACAAACAAUUCACGACAAGACGGAGGAAAAAUGUUACAGUAUCAUCAAAAGAAGAUGCAUCCAUGACGGAAAUCGGCAACAACACAGAGCCUCUACAUCAACCACAAGUAAUGAUUUACGGUAAAAAUCUAAAUUUGAUACAAUACUAG
Molecule: ribosomal RNA, 345 nt
Filed under: Triticum aestivum (bread wheat)
Lineage: Eukaryota; Viridiplantae; Streptophyta; Magnoliopsida; Poales; Poaceae
Description: partial small subunit ribosomal RNA
Source: RNAcentral